UACGAAGGGGGCUAGCGUUGCUCGGAAUCACUGGGCGUAAAGCGCACUUAGGCGGCUUCUUAAGUCAGGGGUGAAAUCCUGGGGCUCAACCCCAGAACUGCCCUUGAUACUGAGGAGCUUGAGUCCGGGAGAGGUGAGUGGAACUCCGAGUGUAGAGGUGAAAUUCGUAGAUAUUCGGAAGAACACCAGUGGCGAAGGUGGCUCACGGGCCCGGUACUGACGCUGAGGUGCGAAAGCGUGGGGAGCAAACAGG
This 253-nucleotide ribosomal RNA is filed under the name uncultured bacterium. RNAcentral's name for it is "partial 16S ribosomal RNA". It matches the Rfam family "Bacterial small subunit ribosomal RNA", at positions 524 to 776 of the family's 1533-position model. The record is from RNAcentral.